Molecule: ribosomal RNA, 253 nt
Filed under: uncultured bacterium
Lineage: Bacteria
Description: partial 16S ribosomal RNA
Rfam family: Bacterial small subunit ribosomal RNA
Source: RNAcentral
GACAGAGGGGGCAAGCGUUGCUCGGAAUCACUGGGCGUAAAGGGCGCGUAGGCGGGAUGGCAAGUCGGUCGUGAAAGCCUUCGGCUCAACCGAAGAACGUCGGCCGAAACUGCCAUUCUUGAGGGAUGCAGAGGAGACUGGAAUUCCCGGUGUAGCGGUGAAAUGUGUAGAGAUCGGGAGGAACACCGGUGGCGAAGGCGGGCCUCUGGGCAUCUCCUGACGCUGAGGCGCGAAAGCGUGGGGAGCAAACGGG